GGAGAGGGGAGCGGCGCCGCCGGCCACCGAACAGGACUAGGUGGUCGUCGCGCGUAAUGCGCUGUUGAUCGGUAGGUGUAGCGAGUAGCGAGGUGUCGCGCGUGUGUUAGGAGUAGAACCCGUGUGUCGGAGACAAAGUCAGCGCGCUCCGUGUGUCAUAGCAUUCCGAGAUCUCCCAUUUUGUUCGCAAUAAAAUGUGCUGCGUGGAUUGUCGUAUUGCCACUUGAUUUACUCCACUCGCCCGACUCGCUUUGACGUCGAGAGAUCAAGAUAUCAAACUCGACUGUCGAAUAAAUUUUUGUGCCAGCCCACACGAACGCUUAGGCAAUCGACUGCCGAAGAUUUAUCGUCAAAAUUUCCCGUUAGUAACGCUUACCGAGCACACUCCGCGUAUCACUAUUUCACAAAUAAAAGAACCAGUCGCGAUAUCAUCGUCGACUAUAAAUUAUAUGAUGCUCGUAUGAAAAAUACACGUUUCGAUGUCCGCUUAUUUAUCGCUUAGCCUGAGUUAUGUAUGCGUUAUGUUAAUCCCGCUUGUUAUUAAAUAGACGUUUCUAUUAAUAUUAAUUAGCUUCUGUCAAUAUUUUAUGAAAAUUUCAACGAUAUGUAAGAAUAUUUUGAGGUCGUGCUCGGAUUGAGAUAUCCGAGGGCGUGUAUGGGCGUCGCGUCGUGUCGUCGCAGUGGCACAGCGUAUCGCGCUAGCUGAUCUGCUAUCGGCUGAAUCGGGACGGUGGCUGCUCCACACUAGGAAUAGGUAGAGUUCCCGCGUUGUUCUGCCGCGUGAUAUAUCGUUCCGCAUCUCCCUGUAUAAAUCUUGAACGCCUGCUGAGGUACACGGGACAUGGCCGCGCCGCAGCCUCGAGCUUCAAAUGGAAUUGUGUUUUUAUUUAUCGUGCGAAUUGUGCCCCACUAUCCCUCACUCGGUAUCGCAGUUUAUCUGCCAAAACGCGCAGUUGGAUCGAUGCAAAUUUACCUCUAAGUUGCUUUGCCUGAUACUUGAAUAAAAUACUGUUCUUAUAAACUAUAAAUACUAAUAUGGCAUUGAUAGUGCAAUUCAACACUUUUUCAUUAGAUAACUUUAUAAAUCAGCGUUGUAGCUGUAGAUAAACUGGAACAGUAUUUUAUGUUACAGUAAAAUAAUGUUAGGGUUAGAGGACAUAGUGAAAAAUGUACAAAUACGAAUAUAUUGAUCGUAGUCUUUACUUGCCACGAUUGUUUCCUAAGUGGUUUCAUUGAUAAGUAGUGGGGACAAAGUAAAUGGGUGACACGUUUACUGCAUCGUUUUAAUCAAACGGUCUUUAAUAUAUUUUUAAUUUAUAUGAGGUCUAAAAGGCCUUAGGCAGGUAGGAUUCUUCUGUCUUUUUAUCGUGGUUUUUUAUAGGUGAUUUUUAGCAGUGACGUGUAAACCAAGAUAAAUGUAAAUAUUUAUAAAACUAGUAUGAAUUAAAAAAACUGAUGUACAACGUCUGUAUACGUUCACAAAAAUAUUAAUGUCUAAACGAAAGAUUAAAGAGAUGAGCUGGCGUGGCGUAGCGUUAUCAAGCAAAACUAUGUUAGAUUUUUUUAGAUUAGGUAUAUUUUGUAAUCGAUCAUAAUUGAGAAUCCUAAAAAAAUAGUGUGAGUACUAAUUAGAUAUGCUUGUGAUCAAAAUAUUUUUAAUAUGGACUUUUUGGCUCUUGGAUACAAGUCUGAACACAUUUAUGAGUAAAAUAGCCUAAUAGUGCUAAAUUUGAGUCCAUAUUUCGAUCAUUGAAUACAAGUCUAAACUCAUUUCCAAUCAAAACAGCCUAAAACUAUGCUAAACUUGAUCCGUUCGUUAAUUCGGUCAAAACGGUACAAAUACAUUAAAGUUUCAACAGCUUUCAUUCAUUUUAUUUAUCCCCUCUUGUUUAAUUUUAAUGAAAUUCUUGAAAAAAUUCGUGCAAUUAUCUACACCAUUAUUUGCCAGUUUUAUCUACCAGUACAAUAUACUAAUUUAAAAUUCAAAUGUUUUAUAAUACCUAUCUAUGAUAAUACAAAGGUAUUCAAUUUAUGUCAUAAUGUAUUCAAGUUCAACUGUAUAGGUAGGUACUUACCUAUGGUUAUUUAUUAAAAUUCCGAAAAUUCAACAUAAGUAAUGAAUCUAAAUAAAACCUAUCUAUGCGAUAAAUAAAAUUAUACCAACAUGAUAAAGUAUUAUUAAAAUUUAAAAAAUGAAACUAAGCUUGCGUCACGCCAGGAAUCUAUAUACGUAAUUUAAAAGGCUUUAGUGUGAAAAAUAUUCCAUGUUAGUCGAUAGCUUAACUUAUUCUUAGCUUACCUAAUAGUCACUUAAAAAUGACAAGAAUCAAAACUAGUUGUGCCCAGUAUACGAAUAGCUAAUUAAAUAAGUAAUAAUAUAAUUUAUUUUAAGAUACAGUAGUGGUAAUAUUUUUGGAUUCCUAUAAACAUAUACGUAAUUUGUCUCCUGUAAUUUAGUACUUACUAAUUGUCAAAAAUUUGGUCGUGAUUCUUUCGAUUUUUUUAUUGUCAACGAACGAAAGUGCCAAAUGCCAGUUUUGUAUUUUUAAUUAGUAAAAUUUUUAUAUGAUUCAGUACACAGUACUAUUUGAAACAGUUCCUUCAGUUUAUAUGCUGACGUUACAGUGUCAUAUUUUUAAAUCCUGUAUUGUUUUUAUAUUUCUUUUUUAUUUAAUUGUUUUUAUUUAAUUAUUAUUGUAUAAAAUGUCGGUCUAUGGCGUCAAUGUUUUUGUCCAUUGUGCAAUUAAAGAUGCGAUGAAAUGGUUCUUCAAUUAACCGUUUAACUCAUAGGUCCACUUGCACAAGGAUAGUUAACAACAGCUGAUUAAGCGUUUUAAGUUAAACUUGAUUUCAAAAAAGGCACAACAUUAAAAGAGAUAAUUAAAUCAGUUUAACUAUCCUCGUGCAAGUAGACUUAAGACUAUGUU
This is a long non-coding RNA of Maniola jurtina (meadow brown), 2927 nucleotides long. RefSeq lists it as uncharacterized. The transcript has 2 exons. The record is from RefSeq and is a predicted model, not a curated record. NCBI's taxonomy places the organism in Eukaryota, Metazoa, Arthropoda, Insecta, Lepidoptera, Nymphalidae.